Long non-coding RNA from Dermacentor silvarum, 234 nucleotides. RefSeq lists it as uncharacterized. The transcript has 3 exons. The record is from RefSeq and is a predicted model, not a curated record. Lineage: Eukaryota; Metazoa; Arthropoda; Arachnida; Ixodida; Ixodidae.
GGUGAGUGCGAGUGAGUGCCAGUGAGUGCGAGUGGAGUUGAGUGCCAGUGAAUGUGAGUGUAAGUGAGUGCGAGUGCGAGCGAGUGCCAGUGAGUGUGAGUGCAGGUGAGUGCGAGUGAGUGCCAGUGAGUGUGAGUGCAGGUGAGUGCGAGUGAGUGAGUGCGAGUGCGAGUGAGUACCAGUGAGUGUGAGUGCAGGUGAGUGCGAGUGCGAGUGAGUGCCUGUGAGUGUGAG